CUGGAAACGGGUGGUAAUGCCGGAUGCUCCAGUCCAUCGCAUGGUGGUCUGGGAAAGAUUUCAUCGGUAUGGGAUGGGGUCGCGUCCUAUCAGGUAGUCGGCGGGGUAACGGCCCACCGAGCCUACGACGGGUAGCCGGCCUGAGAGGGCGACCGGCCACAUUGGGACUGAGAUACGGCCCAGACUCCUACGGGAGGCAGCAGUGGGGAAUAUUGCACAAUGGGCGCAAGCCUGAUGCAGCGACGCCGCGUGCGGGAUGACGGCCUUCGGGUUGUAAACCGCUUUUGAUCGGGAGCAAGCCUUCGGGUGAGUGUACCUUUCGAAUAAGCACCGGCUAACUACGUGCCAGCAGCCGCGGUAAUACGUAGGGUGCAAGCGUUAUCCGGAAUUAUUGGGCGUAAAGGGCUCGUAGGCGGUUCGUCGCGUCCGGUGUGAAAGUCCAUCGCUUAACGGUGGAUCCGCGCCGGGUACGGGCGGGCUUGAGUGCGGUAGGGGAGACUGGAAUUCCCGGUGUAACGGUGGAAUGUGUAGAUAUCGGGAAGAACACC
RNAcentral lists this ribosomal RNA (548 nucleotides) under uncultured Bifidobacterium sp. RNAcentral's name for it is "bacterial SSU rRNA". It matches the Rfam family "Bacterial small subunit ribosomal RNA", at positions 150 to 710 of the family's 1533-position model. The record is from RNAcentral. Lineage: Bacteria; Bacillati; Actinomycetota; Actinomycetes; Bifidobacteriales; Bifidobacteriaceae.